This 602-nucleotide ribosomal RNA is filed under the name uncultured bacterium. Its description in RNAcentral is "bacterial SSU rRNA". The stretch from base 1 to 531 matches the Rfam family "Bacterial small subunit ribosomal RNA", at positions 338 to 873 of the family's 1533-position model. The record is from RNAcentral.
CCUACGGGAGGCAGCAGUAAGGAAUAUUGGGCAAUGGAGGCAACUCUGACCCAGCCAUGCCGCGUGAAGGAUGACUGCCCUAUGGGUUGUAAACUUCUUUUGUAUGGGAGUAAACUCUCGUUCGUGAACGAGACUGAAUGUACCAUAAGAAUAAGCACCGGCUAACUCCGUGCCAGCAGCCGCGGUAAUACGGAGGGUGCAAGCGUUAUCCGGAUUUAUUGGGUUUAAAGGGUGCGUAGGCGGGAUUGUAAGUCAGUGGUGAAAUCUUCCGGCUCAACCGGAAAACUGCCAUUGAUACUGCAGACCUAGAGUACAUUUGAAGUGGGCGGAAUGUGUCAUGUAGCGGUGAAAUGCUUAGAGAUGACACAGAACACCGAUUGCGUAGGCAGCUCACUAAACUGUAACUGACGCUGAGGCACGAAAGCGUGGGGAUCAAACAGGAUUAGAUACCCUGGUAGUCCACGCCGUAAACUAUGAUUACUCGAUGUUGGCGAUACACUGUCAGCGUCUGNGNGAAGANAUAGUAUCNCCGNGGAGAGUCGNGAGAGAGAACGACGAAGAGUAGAGCGNGAGAGNGCGAGGACGACGACGAGGGGAGGAGG